UGCAACACCUGGAGCAACUGCUGCGGCUGUCCACGCGCAGCAACUGCGUUCGUGAGACGGUCCACACCCUUCUCCAACUCACCUUGAGCUACUAACUCUUCACCAACCUGCGUUUCUUCAAGGGAGAAUUUCUGAGCAGCCUCAGCAUCUUCAAGAUCUGAACACGGAGUGUAGACGGCAGCGGCUUGGCGGGGACAGCGAAGGAAGAAGCGAUUGGCCGCCAACCCUCCUCAGAGCGGGCAGAGCGGCUCAGUCCCCGACGCCCGCCAGCCUGGGACUCAGAAAAGCUAAAGUUUUAAUGUGAUCCCCAUAAAAACACUUUUCUCUGGAACUAGACAAGCUGAUGUGAAAUACAAUUCCUAUGGAAAAACAAACAUCCUGGGAUAUCUGGGAAAAUAUAGCAAAGUCAGAGCUACAAAGAGCCACACCAGCUUUAAAAAUAUAAUGUGAGGCCUCAGAAAUUAAAACCAUAUGAUGUUCAUGUAGGUUCCUGUAGGAAGAAAAAAAA
This is a non-coding RNA of Microcebus murinus (gray mouse lemur), 508 nucleotides long. NCBI's taxonomy places the organism in Eukaryota, Metazoa, Chordata, Mammalia, Primates, Cheirogaleidae. The record is from RefSeq and is a predicted model, not a curated record.